This 468-nucleotide ribosomal RNA is filed under the name uncultured bacterium. RNAcentral describes it as "partial 16S ribosomal RNA". It matches the Rfam family "Bacterial small subunit ribosomal RNA", at positions 28 to 507 of the family's 1533-position model. The record is from RNAcentral.
GACGAACGCUGGCGGCGUGCUUAACACAUGCAAGUCGAACGGAAAGGCCCUGCUUUUGUGGGGUGCUCGAGUGGCGAACGGGUGAGUAACACGUGAGUAACCUUCCCUUGACUUUGGGAUAACUUCAGGCAACUGGGGCUAAUACCGGAUAGGAGCUCCUGCUGCAUGGUGGGGGUUGGAAAGUUUCGGCGGUUGGGGAUGGACUCGGGGCUUAUCAGCUUGUUGGUGGGGUAGUGGCUUACCAAGGCUUUGACGGGUAGCCGGCCUGAGAGGGCGAACAGCGACAUUAGGACUGAGAUACGGCCCAGACUCCUACGGGAGGCAGCAGUGGGGAGUAUUGCACAAUGGGGGGAAGCCUGAUGCAGCAACGCCGCGUGCGUGAUGACGGCCUUCGGGUUGUAAACCGCUUUCGCCUGUGACGAAGCGUGAGUGACGGUAAUGGGUAAAGAAGCACCGGCUAACUACGUG